This 98-nucleotide microRNA precursor is filed under the name Loxodonta africana (African savanna elephant). Its description in RNAcentral is "mir-544 microRNA precursor family". It matches the Rfam family "mir-544 microRNA precursor family". Lineage: Eukaryota; Metazoa; Chordata; Mammalia; Proboscidea; Elephantidae. The record is from Rfam by way of RNAcentral.
AUCACUGGGAGAUCUUGUUAAAAUGCAGAUUCUGAUUCAGCAUUUCUGAGGUUGGGCCUGAGAUUCUAGAUUUCUAACAAGCUGCCAGGUGAUGCUGA